AUAUACUUUGUAAGAUGUAACACCACUUUAUCGGGCCCGGUCGAAAAAGAACAUACAGAAAAGUGGUACAUAUUUAAAACAAACUAGACGUUCCUACGCGGCACAGGUGUAAACACUAAACCAGUAAGCAUACAUUUUAGUAACUAAUGUAUCAGAUGAAAGGUGAAAGACUGGUGAUACUUGUAGAACACUUAAUUUACUUAUAAUUCUGAAUAAUACAAAAAGGUCUGAAUGAAUUUUAAAAUUGAGGGCAUAUAUAAUAGCCUGUUUUUUCAGAUAUGAAGUGCAUAGUUUGGUGUAAAAAAAAUUCCCAUGAUCAGUCCAGUACGGUUCGACAUUCAUAUGACAACUAACAGUAGGUAGUUUUCAGCAUUAUGAAAAUUUUUAGCUAUUCAGGUAAGUGUGAGUCUAUAGUGAUUUUUUAUCCAUGAGAUGUCGGCCAUGUUGGCUUGCGGUUGGGGUUAUCAUAUACGUUUCUUUAAAAAACUAAAUAAUCAAAGAUGCUUAAUUUGUGGCCAAGUUUUGGCUCCUUAUUUUAGGGAUUUUUUUUAGUAAGCAGACGAAAAACUAACAACGAUCUCCAGAUAUACAUGAUGUCUUUUUCUUGAUGAAUGUCAUACGAUAACCUGUAGAUGUUUACAUCCUUCUCAUAAGCCAUUAGGUCUUUUACAUGUUUUAUGACUAUUAUGUAUUAAC
Molecule: long non-coding RNA, 696 nt
Filed under: Mytilus galloprovincialis (Mediterranean mussel)
Lineage: Eukaryota; Metazoa; Mollusca; Bivalvia; Mytilida; Mytilidae
Source: RNAcentral